GAUGAAGAACGUAGCGAAAUGCGAUAAGUAGUGUGAAUUGCAGAAUUCAGUGAAUCAUCGAAUCUUUGAACGCACAUUGCGCCCCUUGGUAUCCCGAGGGGCAUGCCUGUUCGAGCGUCAUUUCACCACUCAAGCCUGGCUUGGUGUUGGGCGACGUCCCCUUUGGGGACGCGCCUCGAAACGCUCGGCGGUGUGGCACCGGCUUUAAGCGUAGCAGAAUCUUUCGCUUUGGAAGUCGGGGCCCCGUCUGCCGGAAGACCUACUCGCAAGGUUGACCUCGGAUCAGGCAGGGAUACCCGCUGAACUUAAGCAUAUCAAUAAGCGGAGGA
This 329-nucleotide unclassified non-coding RNA is filed under the name soil metagenome. RNAcentral's name for it is "partial contains 5.8S ribosomal RNA, internal transcribed spacer 2, and large subunit ribosomal RNA". The stretch from base 1 to 120 matches the Rfam family "5.8S ribosomal RNA", at positions 35 to 154 of the family's 154-position model. The record is from RNAcentral.